GAUUAUUGAAUAAAUCUGGUAAUUGAUUGAUCACCUAGUUAGGUCCCGUAUGCUGGUGAUUGUGCUUAUUGCACUUCUGUUACGCGGUGGGCUUUGAUAAGCGCCACAACUAACUAAUUCCGUGGGCUUUGAUAAGCGCCACACUAACUCUACGUGGGCCAUUUUAGUGCCACUAACUCUACGUGGGUCGUCAGCAUAUGUGAGCCGGGAUCCCAAAUAAAAUAUGGAUAUAAAUUAGAUUAUAGAAUUAGCCUUAUGUGUUAUAUGUUGUAUACUUUCUAUAUGAAUAUUUGUACCAUAAAGUGACUAGGAGUAGAUCCUCACUCAGUGAUUAGCACUGACCUUUACUUUCCAUUUCAGAGUGACAAUAGGUUUUACUGGGUCACACACUACAACAUGGUAUCAUCGAGCUCCGGGGUCGGUCAUCAUGGUGACGACGCUAGGUAGAUAUCGAAGAUUGUGUCUUGAUCCUCGUUUUGUAUUUAAAGUUUGUUUGAGACUCUUACUUCCAUCAUGUGCAUAUGUUAUGAGUGGUUGUGUACUAGUACAAUGUGAGAUAUGGUUUUGUAAAAUAUAGUGGCCGAGAGGGCAAGUAUAUGGUUACUCUGGUCCGAGCCUGUGAAGCUCGAGACUUCUGUUCUAUAUGUAUAUGUGUCCUGUUGGACUUCGGGUAUAGUGUACUGUAUUGUGAAAAGUCAAUAAGUCAUAUAUGAGAUCUUGAGCAGUUUUUAUUGACGAAUUAGUUAUUUGAGUACAUAUAAGCACAAUCCUAGAUUAUCAUGAAGGAAUUAAUCGAUGGGUGUAAACAUUAAAUGAUAUAUACGGUAUAAGUAGCAUAGUACCCUAUUCUUACUUCGCUGUAUUAUUUUAAAACGAAUUUGUUAAUAGUAAGGGUGUUACAAGUACUAUGAUUCCUACUGUGUACUCAAACAGUUCUGGUACAUACAAGUGGUCCCAACCUCGAUUGUUGUAUCACUGCGGGCUAUUAGGCCCCGCGCAAUUCGGAACUACGCGGUCUAGUGGGCCUCGACGGAGGAUAGGACUUGGUCGGAUCAGGAGUUCAUCAGAAUUCACCGGCUCGACCUUAUGUUUCAAAGAACAGUAGCCGGGGUUAAUGUUGUUUCGGGGUACAUGGACUGGUAUCUCGAGCACGGUCACCCACGCAUCAUGACGUCCGUCGAGACUCGUGUAAGCGUUCCUCCUAAGAUAGUAAGAUUGAUUUAAUCUUCUUAUCUAAUAGGGUCGCGUAUAUAAAUGUCGUUAUACCAAAUGUUGUUUUUAUUUGUGCACAGAUUGCUGACUGGAUCUUCGAUGGUAUGGCUUGCUAUUUCGACGGGACGUUGGGGGAGCAACUGCAGGACUCGCCACAGGAGUACUACGAUCAUAUAGAGGGAUGCACUAUCAGUUUGAGGACCUCUAUGUGGGCUAUCGACGCAAGAGAGAAGGUCGCCAUGAGUAAAGACUUUCUUUGUUAUACUUUCCUUGCCUCAGACAUUAUAGCUGAGUGUUUUGUUUAAUUUUUGCAUUGAUGUUAUGUACCCUGUUUGCCAGUAAGUCACACUUUGAAUGAUUUAUGUGUUAUUACACUCUCCAG
This 1594-nucleotide long non-coding RNA is filed under the name Linum usitatissimum (flax). RNAcentral's name for it is "long non-coding RNA (LUSI_LNC007826)". Lineage: Eukaryota; Viridiplantae; Streptophyta; Magnoliopsida; Malpighiales; Linaceae. The record is from RNAcentral.